AACAUUGGUACAAACACAUACUGAGAGUACUCCCAUGUCUCAAGACUCACUUGUAGCCUGGUGCCUUAUGCAGCCCUACUUUCAGGCUCAGACUGCUUCCAGAUACCCAGUGAAACUCAAACCCAUGGCCACAAGGAAAAGCAGAAUUCCUCGGACUUGGAGUCAUGAACUGAGCUCGUCAACGUGAAUCCCAGAAGCAGAAAUACUUGUCCUUUUGCCAUUAUCUAAUAAAGUAUUGUGUAACCUACACAUUGUUUCUGCUUUUACCUACCUUAAAUUAGCAUUAUUACCUGACUGCUUUAUUUGAUUUGUUCCUUCUUUUUGUCUGACUUCACUAUAGUAAGCUACAGGAAAUAAUAAUUGCUGUUUACAUAAAAACCAACAUUUGCUUUUACCCAUCUUUCAAACUUGGAAAUUUUCUUGAAUCUGCAGAGAGUUUGUGCAGCUUGGUCUGUUGUAUUCCAACUGCUGAUGACGGAGAGUUAUUCCUCAAUUUAUUGUAAAACCUAUUGUAAUACUUAUGUACCUACUGAGGAAAAGUAAGGAACGAUGUUUAAAGAGGUUACUGGUGACGUUGGUGCUGCCACUGAUAUUUCUGGACUGAGAAUUUGCAAGCUUACAAACUCCUGAAGGAAUAAGUUGGAGAAAGAGUAGGAGCUCAGAGAAGAGACUGUUGCCAUCAGAGGAAAGAUUAUGGAUUUAUUUAUUCUUUUACAGAAGAAGUAUUUAACUUUCUUCGGACAUGAUUUAGACAAUAAACAAGAGCAUAGGGAUCAGUAGUAUUUAAAACAGGAACUUUGUAAAUGGCGGAGAAAGUGCUAUAAUCUUCUUCCAGAUCAUACUAAAUGACAAGAAGUAAAAAACAAGCAGAUCUUUCAAGAGCUACAUCUGACAGAACCAGGGAGACUUCCUGGUCAGAAACAGGUAAUAAUUAAAAGGUGGGCAAACCCACAGAAUCUCACCAGAUCUUAUGCUGGACUACAUAUAUUGCUCUUCAGUCUCCUGGAAUCAAAAUGAAAGCUCAUAGCAGACAGACAGAAAGGAUCUAGGAGAGAAGAGAAGCGUGUGGUCUUCCAUGGCAGGAAAAAGUUCAAAGACUUCAAAGGUUUGGGCAUGACCGAAGCUGAGAAAGAAACAGGAGGUGGUUCCCACAGUGGUGGGACAGUCUUUGAGAAACCUGUUGGUACGUGUAUGAUGGAUAAAAGCCUGAAUGACCACACCAAUUUCUGUGCAAGAGAGGUUAAUUUGAAGAUAAGCACAGUUGCCAGCUUUUGUGCAUGUGAACAGUACAUUCAGAAAUUCAUUCCUGUGUUUUUAGGAAUAUAUAUUAGGAAGGACAGUACUAAAAAUGGAAACAAAGUACUCUGGGGUUCUAAGUGGAUGGGGAAAAAAACAUCAAAUGAAAACAACUAGGAUAAAAAUGUCUGAAAACAAUCUGAAAUGGAAAAAGUAUUACCCUUUCUAUGGAUAUAUGCAAAUAGCCAAGAGGUUAAUGUUAAUUUAGAUUUAUUAUAAAUAUGGAAUAUGAUAACCUUGUUAAGGAUAUGUUAGUAAUUACUAUGGGAUCAAUUCUUACUUUCUUAGUUGGAGGAAGCAAUGCUUUUCUCUUUGAAGAGACUUGGUAAGGCCUGGUCCUUCACUGUUCUGUUUUAACUCAAUUAUAUUUUAUUCUAGCUGAAGCAAUAUAUCUGCACUUUUGAAUUUUUUUCAUACAAUAUUCCUUUGGACAUGGGUUUAAAAUUAAUUGAGAUUCACAUACACACAAGUAGUCUUGCAGAGACUGAAAAGUGAAGGAAAGUCUACAUUAUUAGAUAACAGAAA
This is a long non-coding RNA of Taeniopygia guttata (zebra finch), 1821 nucleotides long. RefSeq lists it as uncharacterized. NCBI's taxonomy places the organism in Eukaryota, Metazoa, Chordata, Aves, Passeriformes, Estrildidae. The record is from RefSeq and is a predicted model, not a curated record.